AUGCUCUCUUCAGGAGCACAUAUAUUAAAAUUGGAAUGAUACAAAGAAGAUUAGCAUGGCCCCAGCGCAAGGAUGAGACGCAAUGAUGUUCAAUGAAUUCAAUGAAA
Molecule: small nuclear RNA, 107 nt
Organism: Sorex fumeus (smoky shrew)
Lineage: Eukaryota; Metazoa; Chordata; Mammalia; Eulipotyphla; Soricidae
Source: RefSeq, a predicted model, not a curated record